This 253-nucleotide ribosomal RNA is filed under the name uncultured bacterium. Its description in RNAcentral is "partial 16S ribosomal RNA". It matches the Rfam family "Bacterial small subunit ribosomal RNA", at positions 524 to 776 of the family's 1533-position model. The record is from RNAcentral.
UACGUAGGCAGCGAGCGUUGUUCGGAAUUACUGGGCGUAAAGAGUGUGUAGGCGGUGUUCCCAGUCUGUUGUGAAAUCUCCCGGCUUAACUGGGAGGGUGCAGCGGAAACUAGAAUGCUAGAGGGUGGGAGAGGUAAGCGGAAUUCCUGGUGUAGCGGUGAAAUGCGUAGAUAUCAGGAGGAACACCGAUGGCGAAGGCAGCUCGCUGGGACGGUACUGACGCUGAGGCGCGAAAGCGUGGGGAGCGAACAGG